CGAAUAGUCGUUGGCAAGGGUGCCCCGCGUGGUCUCCGCCUGAGGCGGAGGCCGGGGUUAAAAGCGAAGCCGGUGUGAGACCGGCGCUGUCCCGCAACUGUGACCCCGACGUAUCGGGGGAGUCAGGUCGCCUGCCCUUCCUUGUCAGAUGCA
Molecule: non-coding RNA, 153 nt
Filed under: Dehalococcoidia bacterium
Lineage: Bacteria; Bacillati; Chloroflexota; Dehalococcoidia
Source: RNAcentral